Molecule: ribosomal RNA, 380 nt
Filed under: uncultured Paramyxida
Lineage: Eukaryota; Endomyxa; Ascetosporea
Description: bacterial SSU rRNA
Rfam family: Eukaryotic small subunit ribosomal RNA
Source: RNAcentral
GUCUGGAUUAUGCGGCUCAAUUGGAUUCAACGCCCAACACCCCACCAGGACAGGAGCGCUCGAUGAAGCACCGGCUGAAUACCUCUGCCGAUGAGCGUGCAGGUGGUGCAUGGCCGCCGUAGUUCGUGAGGUGACUUGUCUGGUUAAUUCCGACAACGAACGCAACCGCAUUGCCCCACUAUGCGACGCGCGCCCGGCGUGCGCCGCAAACUGGGGCAGACUCGUCGGACGCGGGUUUCAAGCCCUAGCCGAAGGAAGCCACGGCGAUGGCAGGUCUGUGAUGCCCCUAGACGCCCUGGAUCGCACGCGUAAUACAAUGCCGGCCCAAGCGCGCACGUUCGCCCGAGAGGGUCUACAAACCGCACGAAAAGCCGGCUCAG